Molecule: ribosomal RNA, 301 nt
Filed under: uncultured bacterium
Lineage: Bacteria
Description: partial 16S ribosomal RNA
Rfam family: Bacterial small subunit ribosomal RNA
Source: RNAcentral
CAGCACCGCGGUAUUACGGAGGGGGCUAGCGUUGUUCGGAAUUACUGGGCGUAAAGCGCACGUAGGCGGCUUUGUAAGUCAGAGGUGAAAGCCCGGGGCUCAACCCCGGAAUUGCCUUUGAGACUGCAUCGCUUGAAUCCAGGAGAGGUGAGUGGAAUUCCGAGUGUAGAGGUGAAAUUCGUAGAUAUUCGGAAGAACACCAGUGGCGAAGGCGGCUCACUGGACUGGUAUUGACGCUGAGGUGCGAAAGCGUGGGGAGCAAACAGGAUUAGAUACCCCGGUAGUCCCUGUCUCUUAUACA